CUUUCACGCCGGCCCCUGCCCUCCGCAAAAGGUCUAAACUUACAACCAAUUUUUUAUCAACUUGUCACACCAGAUUAUUACUAAUAGUCCAAACUUUCCACCACGGAUCUCCUGGUUCUCCCCUCCAUGAAAAACGCCGCGAAAUGCCAAACCGAAUAUGAAUUGCCGAAAUUCCGGAAUCCUCGAAUCUUUUAACGCCCAUUGCCCCCCCUGGUAUUCCGGAGGGCAUGCCUGGUUUAGCGGCGGUUCUCCCCCCAACCGGUGGGUUUGGUGGUGAGCAAUACCACUUGGGUUUGCUUUGAAGAAGGUAAUGGUAAAGCGGGAUCGCUUUGGCCAAGGCUUAAGGCUAACCCAAAACAUUGCUUGCCGCGGGAACGGCCACCACGGAUAUCCUCCAACUUUGACCUCCAAUCCGGGAAGACUACCCGGUGAACUUAAACAUAACAAAAC
RNAcentral lists this ribosomal RNA (450 nucleotides) under Candida albicans. RNAcentral's name for it is "eukaryotic LSU rRNA". The stretch from base 92 to 245 matches the Rfam family "5.8S ribosomal RNA". Lineage: Eukaryota; Fungi; Ascomycota; Pichiomycetes; Serinales; Debaryomycetaceae. The record is from RNAcentral.